Molecule: long non-coding RNA, 782 nt
Filed under: Equus caballus (horse)
Lineage: Eukaryota; Metazoa; Chordata; Mammalia; Perissodactyla; Equidae
Description: lncRNA (ENSECAG00000046872.1)
Source: RNAcentral
CCCCAAACCUCCCAGCCACACCUAACAGUUCAGCGUCAGUCAAGAGUAAAGACCCUAGAAUACAACCAUACUGUGUAAAACUCCAAACCUGCAUAAAGAACUUUCUCUUAACUAUUUCCCUUAGGAUAAGCAGAGGACUGAGAAGUGAGAGGAGUCUUAAAUGGAACACAAGAUGAAGUCGAGGAGCUCAUUGGUCACUGGCAGAGUGCAGCUGGUUGAAAACUAGCAGACAGAUCAGUUUCGGAUAGGGAACGAGCAGAUGGUAGAGCUCAUUGAAUUUCUUUCCCCAAGGACUGAAUUGAGGAAGGAGAAGAGGAAUGAGACAGAAAAGCCACUUUGUGUGGAAUAAAAGGCAGAUGAGCUGCCACUCACAUCAUCCCUGCCCUCAGCACAGGGUUAGACAACAGUGUGGACCCAGAGGGAGAAGGAACGUCAGCCCGGGAAGGGAGCGUGAGGCCUGUGCCUCUCCCUGAAGGUGUGCCAGAAGCUUGGCAAAAGAAAUCCCAUAUAGAAACAGUGGGAGCCUGGAGAUUGUCGGGGGAGAGUGAGGUCAUUGGAGCAUUUCAGUGAUGGUAUAAAGAGAAGAAAUGUGACUAAAUCAAAAAGGGAGAUGAUGAGGAUUGUCGAUGGAAGAAAAAGAGAAAGAAAGAAAGGAAGGAAGGAAUGAAGAAAAUGGAAGUGGGGUGGUCCCUCCUUGAAAAGAUGAAAGGACAAAAGCUAAAAGAGGCUCAACAAUUGUCUGAGGUCACAAUGGUGGUGAAGUGGGAGAGCCCCUAGGCAAA